GAUGAACGCUGGCGGCGUGCCUAACACAUGCAAGUCGAUCGAACUUUUUGGAGCUUGCGGCUAUAAGUUAGGGGCGCACGGGUGAGAAACCCGAGUCUAACCUGCCUGAAAUACGGGUAUAAUUUCGCGACACGGGAACGAAUACAGUAUAACAUUCAACACCACAUUGCAGUCUGGUAAAAUAUGGCUUUUAGAGAAGACAUACAGAUGGACCAGCGUCGCAUUGUCUAGUUGGUGAGGUAACGCCUCACCAAGGCGACGAUGCGUAGCCGACCUGAGAUGGUGAUCGGCGACACUGGGACGGAGCCACGCCCUCGACCCAUACGGGCUGCAGCAGUAGGGAAACUUGCGCAAUGGCCGAAAGUCUGACGGAUCACCGCCGCGUGAGCGCAGAAGGCCUCCGGGUCGUCAAGAUCUGCUGUGAGGGACGAACACUUAUCGUUCGAAUAGGGCGGUAGCUUGACGGUACCUAACCAGAAAGCUACGGCUAACUACGUG
This 498-nucleotide ribosomal RNA is filed under the name uncultured bacterium. RNAcentral describes it as "partial 16S ribosomal RNA". It matches the Rfam family "Bacterial small subunit ribosomal RNA", at positions 28 to 507 of the family's 1533-position model. The record is from RNAcentral.